Humulus lupulus (European hop) is the source of this 215-nucleotide long non-coding RNA. RefSeq lists it as uncharacterized. The transcript has 3 exons. The record is from RefSeq and is a predicted model, not a curated record. NCBI's taxonomy places the organism in Eukaryota, Viridiplantae, Streptophyta, Magnoliopsida, Rosales, Cannabaceae.
UGAUUAUCAGGGUUACACAGGUGACAAGGAGAGCCUGGGAAAGUGUGAACAGUAUUUUAUGGAGUUGAUGAAAGUUCCUAGAGUGGAAUCAAAAUUGCGAGUGUUCUCUUUCAAGAUUCAGUUCAACUGUCAGAUUUCAGAAUUUAAAAAGAGUUUGAACACUGUGAACUCUGCAUGUGAAGAGGUAAGCAGCUCCUGAUGAUGAAUUUUUUCUU